UUCAUCGAUUAGAAAACAAAAGAAAACAAAAGUGGCGCCUCUUUGAAGAAGCGCCAACAAAAGUGAUGUAAUUGUUUUGUCUUGAGAAAAGAUUAAAAUUUGUUUACUUUGAUCUGAUUUUAAUUGUUCCACUCUUUUUGUUUAAUCUUUUAAUCGGUCAAAUUUUUCCUAUCAUUUUUAAAGAAGAUAAAACUGAGUGAAGGUAAGUACUACAAGGAAACAAUUAGCUACUCUAAUCAAGGAUCAUGAUUGAAAAUGAUUGACUUUGGGGUAACAACAGUUAGCACCCAUUAGUAGAGGUCUUAAAGUAUUUGGUUAAGUAUUAUACACACAGUUGGUGACCUGGAGUACAAAUUAUCACGAUAAACGAUCAAACAAGAAACAACAACAACAAGAUGACUUUUGGUUCUGAGGUUUGAGAUGUGAAACCAACAUGAAACGAGGAGAUGGACAGAGAGAUAGAUGGACUGGAUGGUAAAAUACUCUCAUGAUUAUUAUGAUUGUGCUGAUAGUAAUUAUAACGAUGAGAGAGAGAGAGAGAGAGAGAUGCUGAUGAUGAUAAUGAUGAUACUCUAAAAGUAAAAGGAAAAAGGUGGCGAAGGUGAAAGAGGGGAGAUGAGAGAGGAAAAUGCUUGGUGGGUGUGAAACACACGAAAAGAGGAGUUUUGGUGCCAAUAUAUUGAACACCACUAAUUAUCUGUGGGGGUUUCACAAGUAACAACAAUGGAAAAACAAACUUGAAUCCAUGUUUACCAAGCAACAACAAAGAGAAGCCUUUUCUUCAACAAAUCAACAUAAAAUCAUCUACACCUUCAUCCCCAUAAUCAUAACGAUAAUCAUCACUAUCUACACGUUACUUGGUGUAAAAAAUUUCUUCUCAUCAAGAGCAUAUGUUUUUCCAAAUCGUUAAGUCAAGUGAAGUCGACUGACGAUACUUAUAAGAUGAUAAUCAAGAUGAAUAUGAUGCUGAUGAUAAUACGAAAACCCCUAAGGGUAAUAUUUACUCACAUACCCAAAGGUUUUCAUCUCGAAGGAAAAGUGUAAAUAUAAGGUUGACAGGUUAAAUUACUAAUAACCAUCCUAAUGGAUAUAAUAAUAUGGUAUUAUUAUCAUUCUCAUCUCGUCUUCAUAACCCAAAGUAUCAAUAUCCGUGUUUAUUAUUAUUCAAAGUGACCAAGGAAAAAAGAUCUGACCUCUUCUCAAGGAGGAGGAAAAUCACUCCCAAGGUGAAACCAACACCUAUUUUCAACUGUAAUCAGAAACUGUUGAAAGGUGAAAUACAAUUGGACCUAAAUUAUUAUCAUCUUCAUCCUUCUUAACUUAAUAUUUGUCUACAAUUAGCCAACAAUCAGUUAUUAAUCUCUAGAAGUAAAAAUUGAUGAUUUACCUGAUGAAUUGUUGUUAUGUUAAUCUGAUAGUUUCUAACCUUGAAUAGAUUCAUAUUCAAUUUGUUUUUGUAAAGAAAAAACUUGUUAUUAAUUAUCCAAGAUGACCAAUGGAUAAAUUGUUGUAAUUAACUAAUCAUCAAUCCUUGUUUCCUCUUGUUAAUCUUUCGAAGGUCAAUUUACAGGAUAUUCAAACAAAUCAAGUUUAAUUGUUGUACUAACUGUCUAACAGUUUAAUCAGAAUUGCUAAUAACUAAAUUGAAUAGGAAAACAAUUUGAAUUAAUCUUUACUAAAUUGAAGCUUCUUCAAUUUUAGUUAAACAUUAAUUCAUUUAUGUUAUUAUUUUAAUCAUACAGUUAAUCAAACAGUAACAAUUUAACCUCAGGGCUCAAAGUGAAUUAUGAAUUUAACCAAUUCACUAAUAUAACUUUAAUCAACUCAAUUAGUUAAUCAUAUCUGAUAAUCUUCAAUGAAGUUUAAACAAAAUUAACAUUUUGAUUUAACUUAAUUUCUUAUUAUUAUGAUUAACUUAUUACUUUGAGAGUUAAUUAAACGACGAAGGCAUCAUUACAAUCAACAGUUAAAUUAAUCUAACUAAUGAUAAAUCACUAUUGAGAAAUUAAAUUAAUAAUCAGCUGUAAAUCAUUUUCGUCUCUUUUUAUCCGCAAUCAAUUUAAAUUACAGUAACAAUUUAAAGUGAAUUUCAAUGACAAUUAUGAUUUAAAUGUUUUUAGCUUCAAGUUAAUUUAUUAAUUUUGAUCUCAAUUAAACUAAUUGUAAAUAAUCAAUUGCUUUUUAAAAG
Molecule: long non-coding RNA, 2188 nt
Organism: Panonychus citri (citrus red mite)
Lineage: Eukaryota; Metazoa; Arthropoda; Arachnida; Trombidiformes; Tetranychidae
Exons: 3
Source: RefSeq, a predicted model, not a curated record